CUACGGGUUGCAGCAGUCAAGAAUCUUCCACAAUGGCCGAAAGGCUGAUGGAGCGACGCCGCGUGCAGGAAGACGCUUUUCGGAGUGUAAACUGCUUUUAUUAGGGACGAAACAAUGACGGUACCUAAUGAAUAAGGGGCUGCUAACCUCGUGCCAGCAGCAGCGGUAAUACGAGGGCCCCAAGCGUUAUCCGGAUUUAUUGGGCGUAAAGGGUCCGUAGGCGGUUUUGCGCAUCUCCUGUCAAAUCUAUCGGCUCAACCGAUAGGCUGCGGGAGAGAUGGCAAAACUAGAGACCGGAAGAGGCAAUCGGAAUUGCUGGUGUAGGGGUUAAAUCCGUUAAUAUCAGCAGGAACACCAAAUGCGAAGGCAGAUUGCUAGGACGGUUCUGACGCUGAGGGACGAAAGCGUGGGUAGCGAAUGGGAUUAGAUACCCGCGUAGUC
Molecule: ribosomal RNA, 441 nt
Filed under: uncultured bacterium
Lineage: Bacteria
Description: partial 16S ribosomal RNA
Rfam family: Bacterial small subunit ribosomal RNA
Source: RNAcentral